Long non-coding RNA from Priapulus caudatus, 162 nucleotides. RefSeq lists it as uncharacterized. Lineage: Eukaryota; Metazoa; Priapulida; Priapulimorpha; Priapulimorphida; Priapulidae. The record is from RefSeq and is a predicted model, not a curated record. The transcript has 3 exons.
CAGGGCAUACAGUCAAAGAAAGCGGCGGGGAACUAGGAAGAGUUUGAAGAUGAUUUUUCAAGCUUUAACUUGACACCCAAGAAAGAAGGUGGGCAGGAACGAAGAAAGAGAUUCGAAUUUGAGACCAUCCCACACGACAGCUACAGGAUGCUAUAGACCAGG